GCAUAUCAAUAAGCGGAGGAAAAGAAACCAACAGGGAUUGCCCCAGUAACGGCGAGUGAAGCGGCAACAGCUCAAAUUUGAAAUCUGGCCCUCGGGUCCGAGUUGUAAUUUGUAGAGGAUGCUUUUGGCGAGGUGCCUUCCGAGUUCCCUGGAACGGGACGCCACAGAGGGUGAGAGCCCCGUAUGGUCGGACACCGAGCCUCUGUAAAGCUCCUUCGACGAGUCGAGUAGUUUGGGAAUGCUGCUCAAAAUGGGAGGUAUAUGUCUUCUAAAGCUAAAUAUUGGCCAGAGACCGAUAGCGCACAAGUAGAGUGAUCGAAAGAUGAAAAGCACUUUGAAAAGAGGGUUAAAAAGUACGUGAAAUUGUUGAAAGGGAAGCGCCUAUGACCAGACUUGGGCCCGGUGAAUCAUCCAGCGUUCUCGCUGGUGCACUUUGCCGGGCACAGGCCAGCAUCAGUUUGGCGCGGGGGAAAAAGGCUUCGGGAAUGUGGCUCCCUCGGGAGUGUUAUAGCCCGCUGCGUAAUACCCUGCGCCGGACUGAGGUACGCGCAUUGCAAGGAUGCUGGCGUAAUGGUCAUCAGCGACCCGUCUUGAAACACGGACCAAGGAGUCGUCUUCGUAUGCGAGUGUUCGGGUGUCAAACCCCUACGCGUAAUGAAAGUGAACGCAGGUGAGAGCUUCGGCGCAUCACCGACCGAUCCUGAUGUUCUCGGAUGGAUUUGAGUAAGAGCAUACGGGGCCGGACCCGAAAGAAGGUGAACUAUGCCUGUAUAGGGUGAAGCCAGAGGAAACUCUGGUGGAGGCUCGCAGCGGUUCUGACGUGCGAAUCGAUCGUCAAAUAUGGGCAUGGGGGCGAAAGACUAAUCGAACCUUCUAGUAGCUGGGUUCCGCCGA
RNAcentral lists this ribosomal RNA (894 nucleotides) under Beauveria sp. RNAcentral's name for it is "partial large subunit ribosomal RNA". It matches the Rfam family "Eukaryotic large subunit ribosomal RNA", at positions 38 to 964 of the family's 3401-position model. The record is from RNAcentral. Lineage: Eukaryota; Fungi; Ascomycota; Sordariomycetes; Hypocreales; Cordycipitaceae.